CUAAUACAUGCAAGUCGAGCGGAGUCUUUCGGACAGAAGCCUUCGGGCGGACGACUGAAAGACUUAGCGGCGGACGGGUGAGUAACACGUGGGCAACCUGCCCGUAAGUCGGGGAUAACCAGUGGAAACAUUGGCUAAUACCGGAUGUGGUCUUCUUGCUGCAUGGCGAGGAGAAGAAAGAGGGAGCAAUCUCUCGCUUACGGAUGGGCCCGCGGCGCAUUAGCUGGUUGGUGAGGUAACGGCUCACCAAGGCGACGAUGCGUAGCCGACCUGAGAGGGUGAUCGGCCACACUGGGACUGAGACACGGCCCAGACUCCUACGGGAGGCAGCAGUAGGGAAUCUUCCGCAAUGGACGCAAGUCUGACGGAGCAACGCCGCGUGAGUGAGGAAGGCCUUCGGGUCGUAAAGCUCUGUUGCCAGGGAAGAAUGGCUUGCAGUUAACUGCUGCAAGUUUGACGGUACCUGAGAAGAAAGUCCCGGCUAACUACGUGCCAGCAGCCGCGGUAAUACGUAGGGGGCAAGCGUUGUCCGGAAUUAUUGGGCGUAAAGGGCGCGCAGGCGGCCGUUUAAGUCUCGUGUUUAAUCCCGGGGCUCAACCCCGGUACGCAUGGGAAACUGGAUGGCUUGAGUGCAGAAGAGGAGAGUGGAAUUCCAUGUGUAGCGGUGAAAUGCGUAGAGAUAUGGAGGAACACCAGUGGCGAAGGCGG
Molecule: ribosomal RNA, 708 nt
Filed under: uncultured bacterium
Lineage: Bacteria
Description: partial 16S rRNA
Rfam family: Bacterial small subunit ribosomal RNA
Source: RNAcentral